RNAcentral lists this non-coding RNA (110 nucleotides) under Eubacterium sp. Its description in RNAcentral is "TPP sequence". It matches the Rfam family "TPP riboswitch aptamer (THI element)". Rfam says of the family: Vitamin B(1) in its active form thiamin pyrophosphate (TPP) is an essential coenzyme that is synthesised by coupling of pyrimidine and thiazole moieties in bacteria. The previously detected thiamin-regulatory element, thi box was extended, resulting in a new, highly conserved RNA secondary structure, the THI element, which is widely distributed in eubacteria and also occurs in some archaea. Lineage: Bacteria; Bacillati; Bacillota; Clostridia; Eubacteriales; Eubacteriaceae. The record is from RNAcentral.
AGAUAUUAACUGGGGAGCAGAAGGCUUUUGCCUGGCUGAGAGGGAAUCCGGUUCCGACCCAUAUACCUGAUGUGGAUAAUGCCACCGUAGGAAGAUUAUUAUUCUCUAGU